GGUUGGUUUGAGUGCAGUAGUGUUUACAGUGAACUGAUCACAGCCAGUUACAGAUUUUUGUUCCUUCUCCACUCCCACUGCUUCACUUGACUAACCUAAA
Molecule: unclassified non-coding RNA, 100 nt
Organism: Cercocebus atys (sooty mangabey)
Lineage: Eukaryota; Metazoa; Chordata; Mammalia; Primates; Cercopithecidae
Rfam family: Y RNA
About the family: Y RNAs are components of the Ro ribonucleoprotein particle (Ro RNP), in association with Ro60 and La proteins. The Y RNAs and Ro60 and La proteins are well conserved, but the function of the Ro RNP is not known.
Source: Ensembl